Molecule: small nucleolar RNA, 72 nt
Filed under: Aptenodytes forsteri (emperor penguin)
Lineage: Eukaryota; Metazoa; Chordata; Aves; Sphenisciformes; Spheniscidae
Also listed under: 1 other name
Description: Small nucleolar RNA SNORD101
Rfam family: Small nucleolar RNA SNORD101
About the family: snoRNA U101 is a member of the C/D class of snoRNA which contain the C (UGAUGA) and D (CUGA) box motifs and guide the 2'-O-methylation of rRNA and snRNAs. The precise target of this family is unknown.
Source: Rfam by way of RNAcentral
GUUUGGGUGAUGACUUAACAAUUUGUCGGAUACCCCUUCACUCUCAUGAGUGAGAACAGCAGUCUGACAAAC